Molecule: microRNA precursor, 197 nt
Filed under: Oryza sativa Indica Group (long-grained rice)
Lineage: Eukaryota; Viridiplantae; Streptophyta; Magnoliopsida; Poales; Poaceae
Description: MIR812 microRNA precursor family
Rfam family: MIR812 microRNA precursor family
Source: Rfam by way of RNAcentral
AAAAAAAGACAUCCUGUAUUUUUGUGUCCAACGUUUGACCGUCUGUCUUAUAUGAAAUUUUUUUAUAAUUAGUAUUUUCAUUGUUGUUAGAUGAUAAAACAUGAUUAAUAUUUUAUACGUGACUUGUCUUUUUAUUUUUUUCAUAUUUUUUUCAAAUAAAAUGGACGAUCAAACAUUGGACACGGAAAUCUAGGGUU